This 372-nucleotide ribosomal RNA is filed under the name uncultured organism. RNAcentral's name for it is "bacterial SSU rRNA". It matches the Rfam family "Bacterial small subunit ribosomal RNA", at positions 526 to 896 of the family's 1533-position model. The record is from RNAcentral.
CAGAGGUCUCAAGCGUUGUUCGGAUUCAUUGGGCGUAAAGGGUGUGUAGGUGGCGCCGUAAGUCGGGUGUGAAAUUUCGGAGCUUAACUCCGAAACUGCAUUCGAUACUGCGGUGCUUGAGGACUGGAGAGGAGACUGGAAUUCAUGGUGUAGCAGUGAAAUGCGUAGAGAUCAUGAGGAAGACCAGUGGCGAAGGCGGGUCUCUGGACAGUCCCUGACACUGAGACACGAAGGCCAGGGGAGCAAACGGGAUUAGAUACCCCGGUAGUCCUGGCAGUAAACGGUGCACGUUUGGUGUGGGAGGAUUCGACCCCUUCUGCGCCGGAGCUAACGCGUUAAACGUGCCGCCUGGGGAGUACGGUCGCAAGAUUA